GUUUGGACGUAGAUAUUCAAGCUCAAAAUUCGGAAUUGGAAUUGGUACCUCCGAAUGUCGGCUGUUUGGAUGUCCUGGAACUUAGAAUUGGAAAUGAAACCCAAUACCAACUGGUAUUCAGCCCACCCUCACCCCUUCAUCUUCGAUACCAACCCAACCUGCUCUUUAUUCACUGGAAUCGUCUCCUCCCCCACCCUCCG
RNAcentral lists this long non-coding RNA (200 nucleotides) under Setaria viridis. RNAcentral's name for it is "long non-coding RNA (SVIR_LNC004237)". The record is from RNAcentral. Lineage: Eukaryota; Viridiplantae; Streptophyta; Magnoliopsida; Poales; Poaceae.